AUUGAACGCUGGCGGCAUGCCUUACACAUGCAAGCCGAACGGUAACGGGCCUUCGGGUGCCGACGAGUGGCGAACGGGUGAGUAAUACAUCGGAACGUGCCCGAUCGUGGGGGAUAACGAGGCGAAAGCUUUGCUAAUACCGCAUACGGUCUACGGAUGAAAGCAGGGGACCGCAAGGCCUUGCGCGGACGGAGCGGCCGAUGGCAGAUUAGGUAGUUGGUGGGAUAAAAGCUUACCAAGCCGACGAUCUGUAGCUGGUCUGAGAGGAUGAUCAGCCACACUGGGACUGAGACACGGCCCAGACUCCUACGGGAGGCAGCAGUGGGGAAUUUUGGACAAUGGGCGCAAGCCUGAUCCAGCCAUGCCGCGUGCAGGAUGAAGGCCUUCGGGUUGUAAACUGCUUUUGUACGGAACGAAAAGCCUUCUUUUAAUACAGGAGGGUCAUGACGGUACCGUAAGAAUAAGCACCGGCUAACUACGUG
RNAcentral lists this ribosomal RNA (482 nucleotides) under uncultured bacterium. RNAcentral describes it as "partial 16S ribosomal RNA". It matches the Rfam family "Bacterial small subunit ribosomal RNA", at positions 30 to 507 of the family's 1533-position model. The record is from RNAcentral.